Molecule: ribosomal RNA, 747 nt
Filed under: uncultured prokaryote
Description: bacterial SSU rRNA
Rfam family: Bacterial small subunit ribosomal RNA
Source: RNAcentral
GCAGCUUGCUGGACUGUAACUGACGCUGAGGCACGAAAGCGUGGGGAUCAAACAGGAUUAGAUACCCUGNUAGNCCACGCCGUAAACGAUGAAUGCUAGCUGUUAGCGAUAUACUGUUAGCGGCACAGAGAAAUCGUUAAGCAUUCCACCUNNNNAGUACGCCGGCAACGGUGAAACUCAAAGGAAUUGACGGGGGCCCGCACAAGCGGAGGAACAUGUGGUUUAAUUCGAUGAUACGCGAGGAACCUUACCUGGGCUUAAAUUGCAGUGGAAUAACGUGGAAACAUGUUAGCCUUCGGGCCGCUGUGAAGGUGCUGCAUGGUUGUCGUCAGCUCGUGCCGUGAGGUGUCGGCUUAAGUGCCAUAACGAGCGCAACCCUCAUCGAUAGUUACUAACAGGUUAAGCUGAGGACUCUAUCGAGACUGCCGACGUAAGUCGUGAGGAAGGUGGGGAUGACGUCAAAUCAGCACGGCCCUUACGUCCAGGGCUACACACGUGUUACAAUGGGGGGUACAAAGGGCAGCUACCUGGCGACAGGAUGCUAAUCUCAAAAACCUCUCUCAGUUCGGAUUGGAGUCUGCAACCCGACUCCAUGAAGCUGGAUUCGCUAGUAAUCGCGCAUCAGCCACGGCGCGGUGAAUACGUUCCCGGGCCUUGUACACACCGCCCGUCAAGCCAUGGGAGCCGGGGGGACCUGAAGUAUGCAACCGUAAGGAGCGUCCUAGGGUAAAACUGGUGACUGGGGCU